RNAcentral lists this ribosomal RNA (376 nucleotides) under Metaphire sieboldi (earthworm). Its description in RNAcentral is "partial 16S ribosomal RNA". It matches the Rfam family "Bacterial large subunit ribosomal RNA", at positions 1926 to 2541 of the family's 2925-position model. The record is from RNAcentral. Lineage: Eukaryota; Metazoa; Annelida; Clitellata; Crassiclitellata; Megascolecidae.
AACGGCCGCGGUAUCCUAACCGUGCAAAGGUAGCAUAAUCACUUGCCUAUUAAUUGUAGGCUAGAAUGAAUGGGUUAACGAAAUAAAGACUGUCUCAAUUAAUCACCUAAAAAUUACUAUCUAUCUGAAGAAGAGUAGAUAAUCUCGAAGGACAAGAAGACCCUAUAGAGCUUAAUUUUAAUUAUAGAGCUACACUAUAAAAAUAUUCGGUUGGGGCGACCCAGGGCUAAUCAAUCACCCACUACAUAAAAGAUAAAUUAAUCAAAUAAUUGACCCCUAAAAGAUCAUAAGAACAAGCUACCUUAGGGAUAACAGGCUAAUCCCACUCAAGAGUCCUUAUCAACAGUGGGGUUUGGCACCUCGAUGUUGGCUUAGG